GAUCAAGCGAAGAAGAGCGUAGGGAGGAUGCCUAGGCACCAGGAGCCGAAGAAGGACGCGGAAAGCAGCGAAACGCGGCGGGGAGACGCAAACAGUCAGAGAGCCGCCGAUGUCCGAAUGGGGAAACCCGGCUGGGAAAAGCCCAGUCACUGCAGGAUGAAUAAAUAGUUCUGUAGGGGGAACGUGGGGAACUGAAACAUCUAAGUACCCACAGGAAGAGAAAACAAAACCAGCAGCUGGAGACAGCUGUGUGAUUUUCUAAGUAGCGGCGAGCGAAAGGGAAAGAGGCCAAACCGGAUAACGAAAGUUAUGCGGGGUUGAGGACUGCGAGAGAAAGGACAGGAAGCUAACAGAAUGGCAUUGGGAAAG
RNAcentral lists this ribosomal RNA (369 nucleotides) under Bianquea renquensis. RNAcentral describes it as "Bacterial large subunit ribosomal RNA". It matches the Rfam family "Bacterial large subunit ribosomal RNA", at positions 1 to 350 of the family's 2925-position model. The record is from Rfam by way of RNAcentral. Lineage: Bacteria; Bacillati; Bacillota; Clostridia; Eubacteriales; Bianqueaceae.